AUUGAACGCUGGCGGCAGGCCUAACACAUGCAAGUCGGGCGAGUGGCGGACGGGUGAGUAAUGUAUGGGGAUCUGCCUGAUGGAGGGGGAUAACUACUGGAAACGGUAGCGAAUACCGCAUACCAGCAAAUGAACCCAUAUGGGCUUCGCUUGUAGGUGGGGUAACGGCUCACCUAGGCGACGAUCCCGAGCGGGUCUGAGAGGAUGAUCGGCCACACUGGUACUGUGACACGGCCCAGACUCCUACGGGAGGCAGCAGUGGGGAAUAUUGCAAUAUGGGCGCAAGCCUGAUGCAGCCAUGCCGCGUGUAUGAAGAAGGCCUUCGGGUUUUAAAGUACUUUCAGUCGGGAGGCGUUACCGGCAGAAGAAGCACCGGCUAACUCCGUGCCAGCAGCCGCGGUAAUAC
This 406-nucleotide ribosomal RNA is filed under the name uncultured bacterium. Its description in RNAcentral is "partial 16S ribosomal RNA". It matches the Rfam family "Bacterial small subunit ribosomal RNA", at positions 30 to 526 of the family's 1533-position model. The record is from RNAcentral.